RNAcentral lists this ribosomal RNA (380 nucleotides) under uncultured eukaryote. Its description in RNAcentral is "partial 18S ribosomal RNA". It matches the Rfam family "Eukaryotic small subunit ribosomal RNA", at positions 592 to 976 of the family's 1831-position model. The record is from RNAcentral.
CAAUAGCGUAUAUUAAAGUUGUUGCGGUUAAAAAGCUCGUAGUUGGAGUUCUGCCAGGUGCCGCCUGUCCGCCCCAGUGGUGAGUACGUGGCGCGCAUUUGGCCCUUUCAAGGGGAGCGUAUCUGCACUUUAUUGUGUGGUGCGGGAUCCUUGACCUUUACUUUGAGGAAAUAGGAGUGUUCCAAGCAGGCUCUCGUCGUGCACAGCUCAGCAUGGAAUAAUAGCAUUGGACCUCGAUUCUAAGCUGUUGGUUGCCAGAAGCGAGGUAAUGAUGAAGAGGGAUAGUUGGGGGCAUUCGUAUUUAACUGUCAGAGGUGAAGUUCUUGGAUUUGUUAAAGACGGACUACUGCGAAAGCAUCUGCCAUGGAUGUUUUCAUUGA